UGCUGGUACGGAAGGCGCUAGGGUCGAUUCACUUGGUGUCUGUGCAAGCGGUGGUACCCCAUUAACUCUCACAGUGUUGACGUCGAGUGCCGCAGAUCGGCCUUACGGUGCGAGGCUUUCGUUUCCGUGGAGAGUAUGAGUAGUUAUACCAGAGUUUAGAGUAAAAUUUCGGCUACUUGCAUGUUGAUAACGAAAUGGAGACUAGGACGACAGCUACGAAGGCGGUUGUCCGUAUUCGGGGAGCAGUGCGUUCUGGGUCUGUAUUUCUAUGCUGCUUGCUGUCUGACUGCGGUGUUCUCGGUAAGUACGGAUCAUUCUUUGCUGAUACGCCUCACAGCGCAGCUGUUA
Long non-coding RNA from Schistocerca gregaria, 348 nucleotides. RefSeq lists it as uncharacterized. NCBI's taxonomy places the organism in Eukaryota, Metazoa, Arthropoda, Insecta, Orthoptera, Acrididae. The record is from RefSeq and is a predicted model, not a curated record. The transcript has 2 exons.